AUGGAGUCACUUGAACUCAAAGACAAUGGUGAAAACCAACCAUCUUUAGAAGCUUCUAUUGCUUCAGAUGUGAUAUAUGACAAAGCACCUGUAUGUCCACGCAUUGGAAGUGAAUACCAGGCAGAAAUCCCCAAUCUGUCCACAGAGGUUGAGCGCCAUCGGCUCAUGACCAGCACACCAGAAAGCAUCGUACUUGGUUAUGAUUACCCUGGUAUGAUUGGGUUAGCUAUACCAAUCAUGUGGGUACCAAGUGAAGUCCAUAAGGAGGACGAUUCACGAAGGCAGCAUUCUUCAGAAUCCGAAGCAAGAGCUAGCGACCAAGGCGAGGAUAGUCAGGUGACCUCAAUUUAUCCAAUCAGAAAUAAUACAAAUGCCCAUGAUUCAACAUACCAGGAUCAACAUUCAAUGCUGUCUGUUAAUCAGAUAGAAUCUUGCAUCAAUCAAGCACAUGAUGAGAACUUGGCUCCAUUCUCUACUCAAGAAGGUCCGGGUUUUACCAAUAAGUUGUUGACCCAACAAGGGGAAAUCGAGCAAUUUACUCCACUGCCCGGUUUGCCCAGUUCGCUUUGGAGUGCUACUGAGGCAGAAUGUUUUCUUCUCGGGCUCUACAUUUUCGGCAAAAAUCUAAGCCUCUUGAGCAGGUUUCUUGGUAAUAAGACCGUUGGGGAUGUACUCUCAUACUACUAUGGAAUAUUCUACAAAAGAAAUGCUUAUAAAAGAUGGUCGGACUGCAGAAAAGCAAGAACUACGAGAUGCAUUAUUGGGGAACGCAUCUUUACAGGUUGGCGGCAGCAGGAGAUUAUAUCUCGUUUGAAAUCUGUAAUCCUCGAAGGAGUUCAUGAUUCAUUGGUCGAGGAAUUGUAUUGCUUUCGCCUGUUGCAGAUUUUCAAAUCUUUCAACGCCGGACAAGCAUCUUUAGAGGAUCUUGUCUUUGCUAUAAAAUCCUCUGUUGGAACAGAAGCUUUUGUGGAGGCUGUUGGAAUUGGUAAAGGGAAGCAUGAUUUGACUGGAUAUGUUCUGGACCGAUCUAAACCAAACCAAGCUCCUUCUGUUUACCCUGACAUGCCUACAGGCAAAGAUUGUUCCUUGCUUGCUUCGGAAGAUAUAAUUAAGUUCUUAACAGGUGGUUUCAGAAUAAGCAAGACAAGAUCUAAUGAACUUUUCUGGGAAGCUGUCUGGCCCCGUUUGCUUGCAAGAGGGUGGCGUUCAGAGCAGUCAAAAGAUGUCAGAACAACUAAGAAUUGCCUUGUGUUUCUUGUGCCAGGUAUCAAAAAAAUCUCGAGAAGGAAACUCACUAAAGGCACUCAUUAUUUUGAUUCUGUCAGCGAUGUUCUUAAGCGAGUUGCGGCGGAUCCCGUUCUUCUUGAGGUAGAAGUUGGCGGAGCGGACAAUGGUGUUACUGCUGAGCAGUGUGGAUAUGCUACAGACAUGAGUCUGAACCAUGAUGGUCCUUUGGAUGGAUAUCAGGAGCUUCCAAAGUUCACAAUUAUCGAUACUACCUUGGUCCAAGGGGAAGAGCCCUUCAGAGUCAGAGAGCUGAGGAAAUUACCACCUGAUGUAAAUGUCCAUUUUGGUCCUUCACGUCAUUCUUAUAAUACUGUGAGUGUCAGUUCCUCAGAGGAGCAAGAUGCGGAAGAUCAAUCAUCAGAUGACCAGGCAGAUUGUCGACAAGUUACAGCUGAUGUGAAUGAUGCCGAAAUAGUUUCAGUAUGCCAUGCAGGCAAAGAAAACCAAGUCAAUUCAUUGCAAAACAUGUUGGCUGCACCAUCGUCGAGUUUUCCAGUCAAUGGCCAUUCUUCUAAUGGCAGUACUGAAAAAACUGAUAUGACAUGCCUCUUUGGUCCCAAAACAAAAACUGAAAGACUCGAGUAUUUAACCCCAGUGUCAAAGCACAGAAGCUUACCCAGCUGUAGCAAUGAUCGGACCAGUCAGCACAGCUUUUCUUUCUCGAAAGGACAUGGUUUAGAGAGAAAGAAAAUCAAGCCGCUGUGGACUUCAACAAAACCAACUGCAGCUGAUGUCAGUGACAAUUUUCGGACUAAAAUAAUUGCGAGAUAUUCCACGAAGGAGAAGCCAUGCGAGCAGAUAACGGUUGCAUCAAACUCUUGUACCACUGACAGAUCAAACGAGAAGGUGAAUGUGUCCAGUUUAAAUGAGGACAAGUCAUCUGAGUGCAAGGUCGAGGUGGUGCCUAAAGUUUGUUCAAAGAUCAGAACCGCUGAGGCGAAAGUUGCCAAAGAAGGGGCGCAGGUUACUAGUUUGGUUAAACCGGAGACAUCACUAGAUCAUAAGAUAAGCACGAGGGUAUGUGUCGCUUCAUCAGACGAUCAUGGUUACAUGAAGGCUGAGGAAGGCCUUGCCGUUUCAAACAGCGAUUGUGUCCAUGAUGUUUCAGAGGCAACAGGACAACCUGCUAGCCUGCAACCUGACCUGGCUUCACAGGUGAAGUCUCGGAGGCAUGGAACCAGGAACAGACCUCCGACUGCAAAAGCUUUGGAAGCACUUGCCUUGGGGUUCCUUGGAGGAAAGCGUAAAGGUGAACCCAAAAACCCUGGGACAAGCAGGCCCCCCCAGAGAGCUCGCAAAUCCUUGGUUUGUACGCCUACAAGCAGUGACACAGACAAGUCCAGCAUGGAGGUUGAUUUGCAACAGUGA
This 2655-nucleotide ribosomal RNA is filed under the name Triticum aestivum (bread wheat). Its description in RNAcentral is "partial small subunit ribosomal RNA". The record is from RNAcentral. Lineage: Eukaryota; Viridiplantae; Streptophyta; Magnoliopsida; Poales; Poaceae.